RNAcentral lists this long non-coding RNA (832 nucleotides) under Struthio camelus australis. Its description in RNAcentral is "lncRNA (ENSSCUG00000014871.1)". The record is from RNAcentral. Lineage: Eukaryota; Metazoa; Chordata; Aves; Struthioniformes; Struthionidae.
UCAUCUUCUACAGAAUAACGUUAGUUACUAAGUCAGAAACCUGUGUUUCUCCUGUCUUGUAGAUGGGAAAGUCGCAGAAAGGAACAAAUUAAGAUUUCUGUUGGUGCUGUUGAUACUCUGGCAAGCUUCACCCUGCUCUGCAGACAGCUUGUGGGAUGUGAGUCUCCAGCCGAUGCCCUCAGCAGACAAGAGAUCAAAAUGUGUUCGCUGAUGUAGCUGGAGCUUGAUCCUGUGACUGCUUUGAAAACUUGAACCAAGGCUUUAAGCUGUUAUCAGAUACUGACUGGAUGCCAGUGGAGGGUUUUCAGCAUAAACCUCAUGCUCCUACCAAACCCGGAGCCCUAAAGAAGGAAAGUGUCAUAUGUCAGUGCUUGUCAGAUGCAUUUGUCUCCUGAAAUCCAAACUGGUUGGACACAGACCCAAGAUGAAUCACUAGUAUUGAGUGAGCCCAGAAAGAUGGAAAAGGAGAAAAGCUGAUCUUAUGCUGCUACUUGGCAAAGACCUCAGACUGUACUUAACUGCAGGGUGGAUGGACAGGACCUGGGUACAGCUAUGCAUGCUCAGCAUCAGCCUCUACCUACUGUGAAAGAUCUCACUGUGACAUCCCCACAGGGAAGAUAUGAAAAAGAUAGUAGUUCUUAAAAUGCCUGAUAUUGCAAUGCAGUAUGUGAUUACAGGAGAGACAAGGCGGGUUAGCCUAGGCUAUUGUGAGAAGAGUGUUGACAUGUCACCCCUGCCUUGGACCCUUCAGGGAAUCAGACGGAGAGCUGGUCCAGAUGCUAUGCCUUUGGCUCUUCACAAACUUGGACUACAAAAAAUGAGUGGAUCCUGA